CACCUUCGGGUGAGUGGCGGACGGGUGAGUAACGCGUGGGAACGUGCCCUUUGGUACGGAACAACUGAGGGAAACUUCAGCUAAUACCGUAUGUGCCCUUCGGGGGAAAGAUUUAUCGCCAUUGGAGCGGCCCGCGUUGGAUUAGGUAGUUGGUGAGGUAAAGGCUCACCAAGCCUACGAUCCAUAGCUGGUCUGAGAGGAUGAUCAGCCACACUGGGACUGAGACACGGCCCAGACUCC
RNAcentral lists this ribosomal RNA (240 nucleotides) under uncultured bacterium. Its description in RNAcentral is "partial 16S ribosomal RNA". It matches the Rfam family "Bacterial small subunit ribosomal RNA", at positions 82 to 339 of the family's 1533-position model. The record is from RNAcentral.